Molecule: ribosomal RNA, 1384 nt
Filed under: Cricula trifenestrata
Lineage: Eukaryota; Metazoa; Arthropoda; Insecta; Lepidoptera; Saturniidae
Description: 16S ribosomal RNA
Rfam family: Eukaryotic large subunit ribosomal RNA (bases 1088-1247)
Source: RNAcentral
GAGGGAAAAAUUAAUAAAAAAAAAUCUUAAUAAAAAAAUUUUUAAAGUAAAAAUAUUUAAUGGGGGUUAAAGUAUUUUUAAUGGAAAAAAUUAAAAGAUUUAUAGUUAAUUAGUAUUGUAAAAGAUUUUUGAAAUAGUUGAAAAGUAAUUUUUGAGAAAGUAAAUUUAAUUUGUUGUAUCUUGUGUAUCAGAGUUUAUUAAAAAUUUUUUUAAUUUUAAUAUUUCUCGAAUUUAAAUGAGUUAACUAAUUAAUAAAGUUAUUAUAGCAUAAAUAUUUUUAAUAAUUAGUUGGAAGUGAAAUGUUAAUCGUUUUUAAAUAUAUCUAGUUAUUUUAGAAAAAAAUUUAAUUUUUAUUUAAAUUAAAAAAUAAAAUAAAUAUUUAUUUUAUUUUUUAAUUUAAUUAAAUAAUUUAGGGGAUAAGCUUUAAAUUAAAUUUUUAUAAUGAAUAUUAAGAUUAUUAAAAAUUUUAUAAUUUAUAUUGUUAAUAAAUUUUAUUUUAUUAUAAAUAAUUUUAAAGAGGAAUAAAAUUUAAUUUUAAUUUAUUUAAUUUUUUAUAAAAAAGAUUAUAUAAAUAAAAAAUAUAAUGAAAUUAUGAUAAAAUUAGUAAAUGAAUUAAAAAUAAGAAGGUUUAUUUAAAUUUGUAAAUUAUAUUUAAGGAAUUCGGCAAAAAUUUAUAUUCACUUGUUUAUCAAAAACAUGUCUUUUUGUUAAUAAUUUAAAGUCUAAUCUGCCCACUGAUGGUAUAUUAAAGGGCUGCAGUAUUUUGACUGUACAAAGGUAGCAUAAUCAUUAGUCUCUUAAUUAGUGACUUGUAUGAAAGAUUGGAUGAAAUAUAAACUGUCUUAAUUAUAUUUAUUAGAAAUUAAUUUUUUAAUUAAAAAGUUAAAAUAAUUUAAAAAGACGAGAAGACCCUAUAGAGUUUUAUUUUUAUUUAAAUUUUAAUUAUUUAUAAAUUUAUUAAAUUAUUAAUUUACAUGAAAAUUUUAUUGGGGUGAUAAAAAAAUAAAAAUAACUUUUUUUUUUAUUAGACAUAAAUAAUUGAAUUUUUGAUCCAGUUUUAUUGAUUAAAAGAAAAAAUUACCUUAGGGAUAACAGCGUAAUUUUUUUUUUUAGUCCUUAUAAGAAAAAAAGUUUGCGACCUCGAUGUUGGAUUAAGAUAAAAUUUAGACGCAAAAGUUUAAAAUUUUUGAUCUGUUCGAUCAUUAAAAUCUUACAUGAUCUGAGUUCAAACCGGUGUAAGCCAGGUUGGUUUCUAUCUUUUAAAUAUUUAAUAUUUUAGUACGAAAGGAGUAAAUAUUAUAAUUAAAUUAAUAUUUAAAGAAUUUUAUUAAUUAAAUAAUUUAAAUUUAAUUUAAAAUAGAAUUUAAUUUAUAUAGAAUAACUA